This 84-nucleotide transfer RNA is filed under the name Felis catus (domestic cat). It matches the Rfam family "tRNA". Rfam says of the family: Transfer RNA (tRNA) molecules are approximately 80 nucleotides in length. Their secondary structure includes four short double-helical elements and three loops (D, anti-codon, and T loops). The record is from Rfam by way of RNAcentral. Lineage: Eukaryota; Metazoa; Chordata; Mammalia; Carnivora; Felidae.
GCCUGGGUGGCUAAGUCGGUUAAGCAUCCGACUUCAGCUCAGGUCAUAUCUCACAGUCUGUGGGUUCGAGCCCCACGUCGGGCU